AAGGAUUUAGGUUAAAAAAACCCGUGACCUUCAAAGUCACUAAUAGAUCUAAAAUCUAAGCCUUA
Molecule: transfer RNA, 65 nt
Filed under: Rhaetus westwoodii
Lineage: Eukaryota; Metazoa; Arthropoda; Insecta; Coleoptera; Lucanidae
Description: tRNA-Trp
Source: RNAcentral